GACGAACGCUGGCGGCGUGCUUAACACAUGCAAGUCGAACGGUGAAGCGCCUUCCUUUUUGGUGGGUGUGGAUGAGUGGCGAACGGGUGAGUAACACGUGCGUAACCUGCCCCCUUCUUCUGGAUAACCGCAUGAAAGUGUCGCUAAUACGGGAUAUUCUGGGUCUGUCGCAUGAUGGGUCUGUGAAAGAUAUUGUUUCGGUGGGGGAUGGGCUCGCGGCCUAUCAGCUUGUUGGUGGGGUGAUGGCCUACCAAGGCGGUGCGGGGUAGCCGGCCUGAGAGGGUGGGCGGUCACACUGGGGCGGAGACGCGGAGCAGACUCCUACGGGAGGCAGCGGGGGAGAAUAGUGAACAGGGGGAGCAAGCAUGAUGCAGCGACGCGGCGGGGGGGAUGGAGGCCGUCGGGUUGUGAACCUCUUUCGCCAGUGAAGCAGGCCUGCCUAGUUUGUGGGUGGGUUGACGGUAGCUGGAGAAGAAGCGCCGGCUAACUACGUG
RNAcentral lists this ribosomal RNA (494 nucleotides) under uncultured bacterium. RNAcentral describes it as "partial 16S ribosomal RNA". It matches the Rfam family "Bacterial small subunit ribosomal RNA", at positions 28 to 507 of the family's 1533-position model. The record is from RNAcentral.